Molecule: long non-coding RNA, 1482 nt
Filed under: Strigops habroptila (Kakapo)
Lineage: Eukaryota; Metazoa; Chordata; Aves; Psittaciformes; Psittacidae
Description: lncRNA (ENSSHBG00005021102.1)
Source: RNAcentral
GCAGUGGUUCUAAGACUCUGCAGUGCACUCUAGCUAACACAUUUACUGUGUAUUUCAUUUCUUUGUCAGUAAGAAUGAAAACCAAAGGUAAUCAUUAGUGUUAUAAUGUGUGAAGUUACAGGUUUUUGAAGAUUAAAGCAAGAGCAACAGAGGACCAUUAAGAAAACAUAUUUUUUAUUAGCCUUCUUUAGUCCCUCUUUGGAAGCCAAAAUUAUUUUCCCUAGAUGAAUCUUUCUCCGGUUUGAUAUGCAGUGUGUUGUACUGGGUUUCUAACACAGCUGGCAUGAAUACAACUUUAAUUCAUAUUCUGCAGUCUCAGAGCCACUGUCAGCCUCAUCUUGGAUGUCAGCAGGAAGAUAUUUAUUUCAGGAAAUCAUUUAAUAGCUCACAGUGCUCCAGAGAGACCAAAAUUUGUUUCUAGCGGUGCUGCCCCCAGAGGCUGCCUCAGCUGUUGAUGUAUCAAAUCAGGAUGCCCAUGUACAUACAACACAGUUACAAUUCAUAGUGCGGAUACUAUCUUAACAUAUAUCCUUUAAUGAUCUAUAUAUAAUUUUUUUAUUCUGCAGUCCUCAAAUGCAAGGGAAGAGGGUAUUCUGGCAAGUUAAAAAGUGUGAUUGUGUCUGAAUUUAUCACACAGCAGCUCCUCCAGCCCCAUUUCCUUAUACCUGUCCCCAAGAGAAAUAUGUGCAAAUAGGACAGAUGAAAGCAAAUUGCAGUCUCCACUUUGGGCAUAAGCAACCAAAUUCCAUUGCCUAGAAAGUUUCCAAAUUUUGGGUGAAGGAAGUGCGAGGAACCAAUCUGAGACUCUGUAGGAUCCUAAAAGCUGAGCACUCCCUGCCAGCUAGGAUCACGUAGCAGUGACCUGAUGGGCUUGUGAAGGAGCUGCCCCAUGGGUCACCCCAGAAGCACUGAGCAGCGCCACACACAACUGUACCCUUGUCCUCUAUGACUUGCCAGCCUAUGCUGUGCCCACCCAUAUCUCCCCAUGGUUGUGGUGGGCUGCUUACGGGGGACUGUUCAAAGCUCCCUGACACUGGCUCUCUGAGUGCCCUGCAUCUAUGUGUUCCUUGGGGAUGAGCAGGGGCCCAUACCUUAGGGGAAAGGGGAAGAAAAGAGACUUGGGGAACCACUUUGCUAUAACUAAAAACCCCUCUUUGUUUCUAAAUUUGAAGGGGAAAACACCUUAGUAUGUCUUCAUCUUUGAGGUGGACAAAUUGAACUGUUGAGUGGUCUUGAGCUGUCUCUUGCUACGUGCCUCUCCUUGCUGGCUGUUUUGCCUCUUACCUCAAGAUCAGGAACCAAGAUAAUGGAGUGGAUUGCACGGAGAAGCCUCUAGGGAGGAACCAGCCUAGCACCUGGACUAAAUCCACACAGGGGAGAAGAGCCAAGGCUUUGAAGAAACUGGGGAAGUCAGAGGGUUUCUGACCUAGUUGAAGGAGGGAGAGGGAAGGGAAUUCAUUACCCAGAUGGAAAAAAAAAAAA